Molecule: unclassified non-coding RNA, 1535 nt
Organism: Stegodyphus dumicola
Lineage: Eukaryota; Metazoa; Arthropoda; Arachnida; Araneae; Eresidae
Source: RefSeq, a predicted model, not a curated record
GAGUUGCAUAUUGCGUAAUCUCAUAGUUACGUCUGCUAGUGCAGAAUUUGGUAUAGAUUUUGUAAACAAUGAGUUUUUUUAAGUUUGGUUUCCGUUUUUUUCAAAGAAGUAAUGUUGUUAAGCGGCAUACUUUAUGUAACAAGCGACUUUUAUCCCAUUAUCCAGUUGAUGACAACAUAAGCGGUCUAAAUGAAGAGCAAAAGCAGUUACGAGAAACAGUAUUCCAGUUUGCUCAAAAAGAACUUGCUCCAUUUGCCCAGGAUAUUGAUAAAAAGAAUGAAUUCCCUCAGAUGAAGGAGUUUUUUAAGAAACUUGGUGACAUGGGACUUAUGGGUUUGACUGUACCAGCUAAAGAUGGAGGUGCAGAAGUUGGAUACCUGGAACACUGUGUGGUGAUGGAAGAAUUAUCACGUGCAUCUGCAGCUAUAGCUCUGAGUUAUGGUGCUCAUUCGAAUUUGUGUGUUAAUCAAAUUGCAAGAAAUGGAAAUGAGAAACAGAAAGCAAAGUAUUUGCCUAAACUCAUAAGUGGAGAACAUAUUGGUGCACUAGCAAUGAGUGAAGUUGGAUCUGGAUCUGAUGUUGUAUCUAUGAAAACAAAAGCUGAAAAAACAGGUGAUUAUUAUGUUUUGAAUGGCUCAAAAUUCUGGAUAACAAAUUCAGUUGUUGCUGAUGUUAUUUUAGUGUAUGCUAAAACAAACACAGCAUCUGAUAAACCCCAACACGGAAUCAGUACUUUUAUUGUAGAAAAGGGUAUGCCAGGUUUUAAAGUUGGUAAAGCACUUGAUAAACUUGGCAUGCGGGGAUCACCAACUGCUGAAUUAAUCUUUGAAGACUGCAAAGUGCCAGCUGAAAACUUAGUUUCUGCUGAAAACAAAGGAGUUUAUGUUUUAAUGAGUGGAUUAGAUUAUGAAAGAUUAGUUCUAGCUGCAGGACCUGUUGGAAUAAUGCAAGCAUGUUGUGAUGUAACGUUUGAUUAUGUGCACCAGCGAAAACAGUUUGGGCAAAGAAUUGGUGAAUUUCAGUUGAUACAAGGAAAGCUGGCUGAUAUGUAUACUACUUUAAAUGCAUGUAGAUCAUAUUUGUAUAAUACUGCAAAAGCAACUGACAAAGGACAUGCAAGUUCCAAGGACUGUGCUGGUGUGAUCUUGUAUUGUGCUGAAAAGGCAACUCAGAUGGCUUUAGAUGCUAUACAGUGCUUAGGAGGAAAUGGAUAUAUUAAUGAUUAUCCUACUGGCCGCUUAUUAAGAGAUGCUAAAUUAUAUGAAAUUGGUGCUGGAACAAGUGAAAUCAGACGACUGGUUAUUGGUAGAUCUUUGAAUAAAGAAUAUCAAUAGUAUUUUGUACCAUGGUUGUAAAUAUUGGAAGUGAAAGAAACGAUCUGUGGAAGCUCAAUAAAAUGUGCCAUUAAGGAAAAGGGCUUUCAAGCAAAGAUGCUCCAUAUAUUUGUGCAGAACCUGGCUACUUUAUAUAGAAUUUCUAUAGCUAUUUUUGUAUUAAACUGUUUGUAAUUAAACUGUCAAAAUUUUUAUGCUGAA